GGUUUUGAUCUGGCUCAGAUUGAACGCCGGCGGCAUGCUUUACACAUGCAAGUCGAACGGCAGCACGAGUGCUUUGCACUUGGUGGCGAGUGGCGAACGGGUGAGUAAUACAUCGGAACGUGUCUUAAAGUGGGGGAUAACGCAUCGAAAGAUGUGCUAAUACCGCAUAAUCUCUAAGGAGAAAAGUAGGGGAUCGUAAGACCUUACGCGUUUGGAGUGGCCGAUGUCUGAUUAGCUAGUUGGUAGGGUAAAGGCUUACCAAGGCGACGAUCAGUAGUUGGUCUGAGAGGAUGGCCAANCUCACUGG
RNAcentral lists this ribosomal RNA (307 nucleotides) under uncultured Nitrosomonas sp. RNAcentral describes it as "bacterial SSU rRNA". It matches the Rfam family "Bacterial small subunit ribosomal RNA", at positions 10 to 316 of the family's 1533-position model. Lineage: Bacteria; Pseudomonadati; Pseudomonadota; Betaproteobacteria; Nitrosomonadales; Nitrosomonadaceae. The record is from RNAcentral.